GAUGAACGCUGGCGGCGUGCCCAAUACAUGCAAGUCGAGCGAACGGACGAGAAGCUUGCUUCUCUGAUGUUAGCGGCGGACGGGUGAGUAACACGUGGAUAACCUACCUAUAAGACUGGGAUAACUUCGGGAAACCGGAGCUAAUACCGGAUGAUAUUUUGAACCGCAUGGUUCAAAAGUGAAAGACGGUCUUGCUGUCACUUAUAGAUGGAUCCGCGCUGCAUUAGCUAGUUGGUAAGGUAACGGCUUACCAAGGCAACGAUGCAUAGCCGACCUGAGAGGGUGAUCGGCCACACUGGAACUGAGACACGGUCCAGACUCCUACGGGAGGCAGCAGUAGGGAAUCUUCCGCAAUGGGCGAAAGCCUGACGGAGCAACGCCGCGUGAGUGACGAAGGUCUUCGGAUCGUAAAACUCUGUUAUUAGGGAAGAACAUAUGUGUAAGUAACUGUGCACAUCUUGACGGUACCUAAUCAGAAAGCCGCGGCUAACUACGUG
RNAcentral lists this ribosomal RNA (497 nucleotides) under uncultured bacterium. RNAcentral describes it as "partial 16S ribosomal RNA". It matches the Rfam family "Bacterial small subunit ribosomal RNA", at positions 28 to 507 of the family's 1533-position model. The record is from RNAcentral.